UCUCCGUAGGUGAACCUGCGGAGGGAUCAUUACAGAGUUCUCGCCCUUACGGGUAGAUCUCCCACCCACUGUUAUCGUUACUGUCGUUUCUUUGGCGGGCCGCCGGGUUCCCGGCCGCCGGCGCCUAGCUGUCGGCGCGCGCCCGACAGUGGCCUUCAAACUCUGAAUGUUAGUGUCGUCUGUGUACUAUAUAAUAGUUAAAACUUUCAACAACGGAUCUCUUGGUUCUG
RNAcentral lists this unclassified non-coding RNA (230 nucleotides) under plant metagenome. RNAcentral's name for it is "partial contains small subunit ribosomal RNA, internal transcribed spacer 1, and 5.8S ribosomal RNA". The record is from RNAcentral.